UACAGAGGGUGCGAGCGUUAAUCGGAAUUACUGGGCGUAAAGCGCGCGUAGGUGGCUUUGCAAGUCGGGUGUGAAAUCCCCAGGCUUAACCUGGGAACUGCAUUCGAGACUGCAUUGCUAGAGUAUGGGAGAGGGAAGUGGAAUUUCCGGUGUAGCGGUGAAAUGCGUAGAUAUCUGGAGGAACACCGGUGACGAAGGCGGCAUCCUGGACCGGCAUUGACGCUGAGGCGCGAAAGCCAGGGGAGCAAACGGG
RNAcentral lists this ribosomal RNA (253 nucleotides) under uncultured bacterium. Its description in RNAcentral is "partial 16S ribosomal RNA". It matches the Rfam family "Bacterial small subunit ribosomal RNA", at positions 524 to 776 of the family's 1533-position model. The record is from RNAcentral.